RNAcentral lists this small nuclear RNA (156 nucleotides) under Canis lupus familiaris (dog). RNAcentral's name for it is "partial U1 small nuclear RNA". It matches the Rfam family "U1 spliceosomal RNA". From Rfam's summary of the family: U1 is a small nuclear RNA (snRNA) component of the spliceosome (involved in pre-mRNA splicing). Lineage: Eukaryota; Metazoa; Chordata; Mammalia; Carnivora; Canidae. The record is from RNAcentral.
CAUACUUACCUGGCAGGGGAGAUACCAUGAUCACGAAGGUGGUUUUCCCAGGGCGAGGCUUAUCCAUUGCACUCCGGAUGUGCUGACCCCUGCGAUUUCCCCAAAUGUGGGAAAACUCGACUGCAUAAUUUGUGGUAGUGGGGGACUGCGUUCGCG